CUCGCUCUCUCUCUCUCGCGCUCUCUCU
This 28-nucleotide microRNA is filed under the name Chiloscyllium plagiosum (whitespotted bambooshark). RNAcentral's name for it is "microRNA PC-5p-443902_1". The record is from RNAcentral. Lineage: Eukaryota; Metazoa; Chordata; Chondrichthyes; Orectolobiformes; Hemiscylliidae.